This 1436-nucleotide long non-coding RNA is filed under the name Triticum aestivum (bread wheat). RNAcentral's name for it is "long non-coding RNA (TAES_LNC011704)". Lineage: Eukaryota; Viridiplantae; Streptophyta; Magnoliopsida; Poales; Poaceae. The record is from RNAcentral.
UACUGAACUUGUGUUUUGGCUGAUUCUAAACUGAUGCGUAUCCAACAUUGGUGUUUAAACAAUUCUUGGUCCAUUGACUGUCUGAACUUGCAACCUUACUGCCUUGCAAUCUCUAAAUAUUUUCUUGAUCACUAAAUAAGACCAAUUUUAGCAUGUUUCCUGAAAUAUUGUAGCAUGUUUUAUGUUUCCAUCUACAAGUUCACACACUACUGUCUCGGACGUUCAAACAUUUGUUUCCCUGAUGUUCAGAUAUUAUCAUCUAGGAGGAAUACAUGUUGUAACUUCGAGAGAAAACGUUCAUGUUGAUUACUCCUGUCAAGUGUAAAAUUUCGCCAAUAUACAAUCUAUAAGUUCAAUAUCCAGUACAUUAGUUUAGUAGUUGGUACUAACUACUCCAGUUUUUUCUUGAUGUACCUGUGGUGUCUAGUUUUUCUUUCAGUUCAAUUUGUAAAUUUCAGCCAGUUCAAUUCGUAUUGUAGCUCCACUUUAGUCCACGUGGUUAAUUGUUGGCUGGUGUGUGUGCAGGGUACCGUGACAUUGAGUAGGCGCAAAGUGUAUCACUCCAGCAUGCCAUGCUCUAGUGCAUGUCAACAUUUUCUCCACUGCAAUGGAAGCUGCAGAUUUUUCUCCACUCUACUUGCCUUGCUAGUGUUUGCUUUAAUGCCUCAAUGGUGCACUAUGCAUCUUUUGCACUCUGAAGACAGAGCUUGAUUAGUCUGUUUCUACUAUUAGUUCAUGCAAACCUGGUUAUAUGAUGUUUUUUUUUCAUUGUUACUUGAUGUCUCAUUUUCCUGUUUUCUGUUAUAUUUUUCUAGGGAAGGUUCUUGUAAUUAUUAGUUCUUUGAUUGUAUGAUGCAACCGCUUACUCGAUGUCAUUCUCAUUGUUCUUGUAGUUGCAUAUAUGGAAGUGUGUGCUUGGUUUGGUUCCAUUUAUCUUUCUCUCAUGCCUGCCCUUUUGAUCUUAUAGGAAUUGAGGCUUCGCCAAGGAACAAGACUGGUAACUAGCGCAAAGGAGAUCAUGUCGAGAGGUGGCACUGCUAGACUUUUUGAUGUGUAGUUAUGGCAUAAAAAAGACGAAAAAAUGGUGUCUUGUAUGAUUCCAUAAGGUGUACGUAGCAUAUCUUUCCAUGUGGAUCAGUACAACUUAUGUACGGUCUUGAGUUCACAAAUCUUAUAGUAAUCUUUGUAGCUCUUCGUAAAGCAAGAUUGGCCCUUUUUUUGUGAGCAACAAUUCAAACAGAAAUCUGUUGUAUCAGUUCUUGUGAUAGAUAGAAGAAAGUUCACUCGCCAAAAGGUUAAAGAAGUCUACCUAAUAAUUUGCAAAUCUUAAAGAUAAUGAUCAGUUUGAAUUAAAAAAUGGUUUGCAUUAAAAACAAAUGAUCGGAUCAAAUUAAAAACAAUGAUUAGUUUGAAUUAAAAAAAUCUAAAUUAAAAAA